UGACUGGCGGCGUGCUAAUACAUGCAAGUCGAGCGAACAGAGAAGGAGCUUGCUCCUUUGACGUUAGCGGCGGACGGGUGAGUAACACGUGGGCAACCUACCUUAUAGUUUGGGAUAACUCCGGGAAACCGGGGCUAAUACCGAAUAAUCUAUUGUCCCUCAUGGGACAAUACUGAAAGACGGUUUCGGCUGUCGCUAUAGGAUGGGCCCGCGGCGCAUUAGCUAGUUGGUGAGGUAACGGCUCACCAAGGCGACGAUGCGUAGCCGACCUGAGAGGGUGAUCGGCCACACUGGGACUGAGACACGGCCCAGACUCCUACGGGAGGCAGCAGUAGGGAAUCUUCCACAAUGGGCGAAAGCCUGAUGGAGCAACGCCGCGUGAGUGAAGAAGGAUUUCGGUUCGUAAAACUCUGUUGUAAGGGAAGAACAAGUACAGUAGUAACUGGCUGUACCUUGACGGUACCUUAUUAGAAAGCCACGGCUAACUACGUGCCAGCAGCCGCGGUAAUACGUAGGUGGCAAGCGUUGUCCGGAAUUAUUGGGCGUAAAGCGCGCGCAGGUGGUUUCUUAAGUCUGAUGUGAAAGCCCACGGCUCAACCGUGGAGGGUCAUUGGAAACUGGGAGAACUUGAGUGCAGAAGAGGAUAGUGGAAUUCCAAGUGUAAGCGGUGAAAUGCGUAGAAGAUUUGGAGGAAACAACCAGUGGGCGAAGGCGACUUAUCCUGGUUCUGUAACUGACAACUGAAGGCGCGGAAAGCGUUGGGGGAGCAAA
RNAcentral lists this ribosomal RNA (771 nucleotides) under Lysinibacillus sp. S521B-2. RNAcentral's name for it is "bacterial SSU rRNA". It matches the Rfam family "Bacterial small subunit ribosomal RNA", at positions 34 to 772 of the family's 1533-position model. The record is from RNAcentral. Lineage: Bacteria; Bacillati; Bacillota; Bacilli; Caryophanales; Bacillaceae.